AUGCCGCUCUUGGACAAGCUAAGGACACGCCUGGCCUGCUGGAAAGCACACCUCAUCUCCGCGGCCGGCAGGCUAGUGCUCCUCAACACGGUGCUCUCCUCCUCCACGGUCUACUGGCUGUUGGUCUUCAUUUUCCCUGCCUGGGUACGCCGUGAGAUCGACCGCCUCCGCCGAGCCUGGCUCUGGCGCGGCGAUGACUCCUGCCACGGGGGGCAUUGCAAGGUUGCAUGGGCCAAAAUAUGUCGGCCUAGAGAGCUCGGGGGGGGGAUGGGUAUCUUGGACAUCGACCGUUUCGGCACGGCUCUAAGGCUGCGCUGGCUCUGGCUCCAGCGCGCGGCGGCCGACAAGCCAUGGCAGGGCCUCCCCAUCCCCUGCUCCAUGGACGACCGCAAGCUCUUCGCGGCAGCCACACGGGUGUCCCUAGGCAAUGGGGAGCGCGCCCUCUUCUGGCACGACGGCUGGCUGAAUGGGGAAGCUCUGCUGGUGACCACGCCAAGCCUAUACGUAGCCUCUCGGCGAAAGUACAGAACGGUUGCUGAUGCGCUGCACGGCAGCAAAUGGAUCAGCGACCUGCGUGGACGGGUCCACUCAGACUCCCUCCCUGCGUUUGUUGAGCUGUGGACGAAGAUUGCUACCUUGCCGCCGUUGACGCCAGGGACCGAGGACGUUUUCUCCUAG
This 678-nucleotide ribosomal RNA is filed under the name Triticum aestivum (bread wheat). Its description in RNAcentral is "partial small subunit ribosomal RNA". Lineage: Eukaryota; Viridiplantae; Streptophyta; Magnoliopsida; Poales; Poaceae. The record is from RNAcentral.